This 775-nucleotide ribosomal RNA is filed under the name uncultured Neocallimastigales. RNAcentral describes it as "partial large subunit ribosomal RNA". It matches the Rfam family "Eukaryotic large subunit ribosomal RNA", at positions 23 to 632 of the family's 3401-position model. Lineage: Eukaryota; Fungi; Neocallimastigomycota; Neocallimastigomycetes; Neocallimastigales. The record is from RNAcentral.
GAGAGAGACAUGCGCGCAUAUCAAUAAGCGGAGGAAAAGAAACUAACAAGGAUUCCCUUAGUAACGGCGAGUGAAGGCGGGAAGAGCUCAAAUUUGAAAUCUUCAAGGUUUUACCUUGACGAAUUGUAGUUUAAAGAAGUGUUUUCUGCUGAAGUUUUGGUAAAAGUUCUUUGGAAUAGGACAUCAUAGAGGGUGAGAAUCCCGUAUUUGACCAUUAUUUUCAGCUUUGUGAUACACUUUCAAAGAGUCGGAUUGUUUGGGAAUGCAGUCCAAAAUGGGUGGUAAAUUUCAUCUAAAGCUAAAUAUUGGCGAGAGACCGAUAGCGAACAAGUACCGUGAGGGAAAGAUGAAAAGAACUUUGAAAAGAGAGUUAAACAGUACGUGAAAUUGUCAAAAGGGAAGCGUUUGACACCAGUGUUGUUUUCUCGAAAAUCAAUUAAAAAAGGCAGGAUUUUGUGUUGUAUUGACUUUAUCAGCUUUCUGCACUCUUUUCUUGUCUUUUUUUAAUGCACUUUUCGUUUAACAAGUCAACAUCAAUUUCUUUUGUUGUAAAAGGGUCAUUGGAAGGUGGCUUUCUUUUCGGAGAAAGUGUUUAUAGCCUUUGGCCUCUGCAAUCGGAGAGAUUGAGGUCUGCAGCGUAGAUCCUUCGGGGUUAGAUACAUUUGUGCUAAGUUAUAGCCUUUCAUAGACAACUUGUUGACUAUGAUCAGUCAUGUAGCUUACUCGCUUAUGCUAUUUUACCUACGCUUAGGAUGUUGAGUCGUAGAGCACGCAG